ACGGAAGGCAGCAGUGAGGAAUAUUGGACAAUGGAGGCAACUCUGAUCCAGCCAAACCGCGUGAAGGAAGACGGUCCUAUGGAUUGUAAACUUCUUUUGUAAGGGGAUAAACCUAGAUAUGUAUAUCUAGCUGAAGGUACCUUACGAAUAAGCAUCGGCUAACUCCGUGCCAGCAGCCGCGGUAAUACGGAGGAUGCAGGCGUUAUCCGGAUUUAUUAGGUUUAAAGGGUGCGCAGGCGGGACACUAAGUCGGCGGUGAAAUCUCAUGGCCCAACCAUGAAACUGCCAUCGAUACUGGUGACCUUGAGUACGAAUGAGGAAGGCGGAAUGAGUCGUGUAGCGGUGAAAUGCUUAGAUAUGACGAAGAACUCCGAUUGGGAAGCCAGCUUACUGUAGCGCCACUGACGCUGAUGCUCGAAAGCGUGGGUAUCGAACAGGAUUAGAUACCCUGGUA
This 454-nucleotide ribosomal RNA is filed under the name uncultured Porphyromonadaceae bacterium. RNAcentral describes it as "partial 16S ribosomal RNA". It matches the Rfam family "Bacterial small subunit ribosomal RNA", at positions 341 to 792 of the family's 1533-position model. The record is from RNAcentral. Lineage: Bacteria; Pseudomonadati; Bacteroidota; Bacteroidia; Bacteroidales; Porphyromonadaceae.